RNAcentral lists this ribosomal RNA (301 nucleotides) under uncultured bacterium. RNAcentral describes it as "partial 16S ribosomal RNA". It matches the Rfam family "Bacterial small subunit ribosomal RNA", at positions 509 to 807 of the family's 1533-position model. The record is from RNAcentral.
CAGCCGCCGCGGGAAUACGUAGGGUGCAAGCGUUAAUCGGAAUUACUGGGCGUAAAGCGCACGUAGGCGGCUAUUCAAGUCAGGGGUGAAGGCCCGGGGCUCAACCCCGGAAGUGCCUUUGAAACUAGAUAGCUUGAAUCUUGGAGAGGCGAGUGGAAUUCCGAGUGUAGAGGUGAAAUUCGUAGAUAUUCGGAAGAACACCAGUGGCGAAGGCGGCUUACUGGCUCAUUCUAGACGCUGAGGUGCGAAAGCGUGGGGAGCAAACAGGAUUAGAUACCCGCGUAGUCCCUGUCUCUUAUAC